UCCGUAGGUGAACCUGCGGAGGGAUCAUUACACAACAAAAUAUGAAGGCCUGGCUUCGCGGCCGGCUGAAAUAUUUUUUUCACCCAUGUCUUUUGCGCACUUGUUGUUUCCUGGGCGGGUUCGUCCGCUACCAGGACCAAACCAUAAACCUUUUUUUAUGCAGUUGCAAUCAGCGUCAGUAAAAACAAUGUAAUUAUUACAACUUUCAACAACGGAUCUCUUGGUUCUGGCAUCGAUGAAGAACGCAGCGAAAUGCGAUACGUAGUGUGAAUUGCAGAAUUCAGUGAAUCAUCGAAUCUUUGAACGCACAUUGCGCCCUUUGGUAUUCCAAAGGGCAUGCCUGUUCGAGCGUCAUUUGUACCUUCAAGCUUUGCUUGGUGUUGGGCGUUUUUUGUCUCCCUCUUUCUGGGAGACUCGCCUUAAAACGAUUGGCAGCCGGCCUACUGGUUUCGGAGCGCAGCACAUAUUUUGCGCUUUGUAUCAGGAGAAAAGGACGGUAAUCCAUCAAGACUCUACAUUUUUAACUUUUGACCUCGGAUCAGGUAGGGAUACCCGCUGAACUUAAGCAUAUCAAUAAGCGGAGGA
This 585-nucleotide ribosomal RNA is filed under the name Bipolaris sorokiniana. Its description in RNAcentral is "eukaryotic LSU rRNA". The stretch from base 201 to 354 matches the Rfam family "5.8S ribosomal RNA". The record is from RNAcentral. Lineage: Eukaryota; Fungi; Ascomycota; Dothideomycetes; Pleosporales; Pleosporaceae.